CUUUCCUGUGUUUCAGGUUCUUGGGGUCUGAAGCAAGAAGUUGCUCUGAGCAAGUGAUGAUGACUCCCUGGCUGCACUGUGAGCUCCUGCCAGCCAAUGAAAAGGUUUCUUGGCUUACCCGUUAUUUUCUGCUCCUGUUCUUUGGCAACAUGCUGCAGACACACAAAAAGGUGACUAUUCAUGGCCUGGCAGGUGGAAGAUUAAUUCUGACAGAGGAAGAAUUUCUUGAUGAAGUGACUUCAAAGGCAAAAUAUUGUGGAGGGGGAAGCAGGCAACACUUGUGUGAAAGAAGAAGAGGGAGGCUGUGCCAGUUGGCAUCAAGCACUAGAAGGAUAACCUUCGUCCUCAGGGCUGACACCAGCAGCUCAGCUUCAAGGCCAGGAACCUAAAAGGAGUUAACCUGGAGGUCACCUUCUAACAAUUUCACUACUCAGUCCAAAG
RNAcentral lists this long non-coding RNA (441 nucleotides) under Cyanistes caeruleus (blue tit). RNAcentral describes it as "lncRNA (ENSCCEG00000024493.1)". The record is from RNAcentral. Lineage: Eukaryota; Metazoa; Chordata; Aves; Passeriformes; Paridae.